AACAUGUUAAUUAUCUGUGGAGACGUUCCCACACUGGAACCAGUGACAUGUUGAGUCCUUGGAUUGAUUCUAACUAACAGUGUUUCUAUAAUUCAUGUCAAAGUAAAGCUGGAUAUAAAAUGAUUUUCAUCCCAGCUCCUUUCAGAUCAAUCUACAGCCCAGAGAAAAGUAGAAAGCUGCAGUUUGUAGGUUUCAUGUCAGAAGAAUGUGAAGAUUUACCUUGUGAAUGUGUUGUGAAGAUGUGUAUUCAUCAUGAUGGUUCUUUUAUUUCCUGACAGCAGACACAUCACAGGUCUCUCCUACCAAUGAGACACAAACAUUGCUUCCUGAUAACAACGGUGGAGUCCAAGCAUUAACCACUCUAGACCACAUCAGUGAAACAGGAGGAAACGAAGAAUCUAACCAAACCCAGACACCUGUAGUGUCUC
Long non-coding RNA from Mugil cephalus (flathead mullet), 428 nucleotides. RefSeq lists it as uncharacterized. The transcript has 3 exons. The record is from RefSeq and is a predicted model, not a curated record. NCBI's taxonomy places the organism in Eukaryota, Metazoa, Chordata, Actinopteri, Mugiliformes, Mugilidae.